Molecule: ribosomal RNA, 592 nt
Filed under: Sordaria alcina
Lineage: Eukaryota; Fungi; Ascomycota; Sordariomycetes; Sordariales; Sordariaceae
Description: eukaryotic LSU rRNA
Rfam family: 5.8S ribosomal RNA (bases 235-388)
Source: RNAcentral
AAGUCGUAACAAGGUCUCCGUUGGUGAACCAGCGGAGGGAUCAUUACAGAGUUGCAAAACUCCCACAAACCAUCGCGAAUCUUACCCGUACGGUUGCCUCGGCGCUGGCGGUCCGGAAAGCCCUCGGGCUCAUGGAUCCUCGGGUCUCCCGCUUGCGGGAGGCUGCCCGCCGGAGUGCCGAAACUUAACUCUUGAUAUUUUAUGUCUCUCUGAGUAAACUUUUAAAUAAGUCAAAACUUUCAACAACGGAUCUCUUGGUUCUGGCAUCGAUGAAGAACGCAGCGAAAUGCGAUAAGUAAUGUGAAUUGCAGAAUUCAGUGAAUCAUCGAAUCUUUGAACGCACAUUGCGCUCGCCAGUAUUCUGGCGAGCAUGCCUGUUCGAGCGUCAUUUCAACCAUCAAGCUCUGCUUGCGUUGGGGAUCCGCGGCUGCCCGCGGUCCCUCAAAAACAGUGGCGGGCUCGCUAGUCACACCGAGCGUAGUAACUCUACAUCGCUAUGGUCGUGCGGCGGGUUCUUGCCGUAAAACCCCCAAUUUUUUAAGGUUGACCUCGGAUCAGGUAGGAAUACCCGCUGAACUUAAGCAUAUCAAUA